GAACGCUGGCGGCGUGCCUAAUACCUGCAAGUCGAGCGAACGGACGAGAAGCUUGCUUCUCUGAUGUUAGCGGCGGACGGGUGAGUAACACGUGGAUAACCUACCUAUAAGACUGGGAUAACUUCGGGAAACCGUAGCUAAUACCGGAUAAUAUUUUGAACCGCAUGGUUCAAAAGUGAAAGACGGUCUUGCUGUCACUUAUAGAUGGAUCCGCGCUGCAUUAGCUAGUUGGUAAGGUAACGGCUUACCAAGGCAACGAUGCAUAGCCGACCUGAGAGGGUGAUCGGCCACACUGGAACUGAGACACGGUCCAGACUCCUACGGGAGGCAGCAGUAGGGAAUCUUCCGCAAUGGGCGAAAGCCUGACGGAGCAACGCCGCGUGAGUGAUGAAGGUCUUCGGAUCGUAAAACUCUGUUAUUAGGGAAGAACAUAUGUGUAAGUAACUGUGCACAUCUUGACGGUACCUAAUCAGAAAGCCACGGCUAACUACGUG
This 494-nucleotide ribosomal RNA is filed under the name uncultured bacterium. RNAcentral's name for it is "partial 16S ribosomal RNA". It matches the Rfam family "Bacterial small subunit ribosomal RNA", at positions 31 to 507 of the family's 1533-position model. The record is from RNAcentral.